RNAcentral lists this ribosomal RNA (253 nucleotides) under uncultured bacterium. RNAcentral describes it as "partial 16S ribosomal RNA". It matches the Rfam family "Bacterial small subunit ribosomal RNA", at positions 524 to 776 of the family's 1533-position model. The record is from RNAcentral.
UACGUAGGGUGCGAGCGUUGUCCGGAUUUAUUGGGCGUAAAGAGCGUGUAGGCGGCUAUGCAGGUCCGCUGUGAAAACUCGAGGCUCAACCUCGAGACGUCGGUGGAAACCGCAUGGCUAGAGUCCGGAAGAGGAGAGUGGAAUUCCCGGUGUAGCGGUGAAAUGCGCAGAUAUCGGGAAGAACACCCGUGGCGAAGGCGGCUCUCUGGGACGGUACUGACGCUGAGACGCGAAAGCGUGGGGAGCGAACAGG